Long non-coding RNA from Capra hircus (goat), 472 nucleotides. RefSeq lists it as uncharacterized. The record is from RefSeq and is a predicted model, not a curated record. NCBI's taxonomy places the organism in Eukaryota, Metazoa, Chordata, Mammalia, Artiodactyla, Bovidae. The transcript has 3 exons.
GCUCAGGUUAGGUCCCAAAGCGGGGUGUGCUUAAUAUCAAAUGUCUGUCACAAACUGUGAAAGGACUCUUUCCAUAUCAUUUUCAUUCAGAGACCCAGCUUGCACAGUGUGGAAGACAGACAAGCAUCUACUGCAAAACCAUGGAGGAGCAAGUGUCUUCCCCUCUGUGGUCAGCAUCUCUGAGUAUGUUGACCAUCAUCCAAAUUAAAGCUGAGCCUGGUCUGAAAUUGCUAUGAGACAUACGUUUGAUCCCUGAUCCUGGAGUAUCCCACAUGCUGUGGAGCAGCUGAGCCUGUGAGCCACAACUAUUGAGCCCGUGCCUUAGAGCUGGGGAACCACAGCUACUGAGCCAGCCCGCUGCAAGUACUGAAGACCAUGCACUGCAACUAGAGAAAAGCCUGUGUAGCAACGAAGACCUAGAGCAGCCAAAUAAAAGGCAUCAGAGACAAUCUUGGGACAAUGAAAAUCUCAU